This is a long non-coding RNA of Chenopodium quinoa (quinoa), 641 nucleotides long. RefSeq lists it as uncharacterized. The record is from RefSeq and is a predicted model, not a curated record. The transcript is spliced from 2 exons. NCBI's taxonomy places the organism in Eukaryota, Viridiplantae, Streptophyta, Magnoliopsida, Caryophyllales, Amaranthaceae.
ACCAAUUCUUUAAAACCGGUGGGGAAAAUAUGGGGAAAAAUGGGCGGGUUUUUAAGGAGAGGUUUUUUCCACCGGUUCAAACUGAACCGGUGGAGAAAACCAUUAUUCCCACCGGUUUGAACCGAAUCGGUGACAUUUCCUAUUUAAAAAAAAAACCCUCAUAUACUCCUAAUCUCCUCUCCUCUCUCUCCUUCUCUCUCUAGAUCUACUGCCCUUUCAUCUCACCACCACCAAGUCUACCACCGCCGUCUCUGUCCUCUCUCCCCUCGCUUUGCUCUUCUCUCUCUUUCUCUUUUGUCUUCCCGAUUCUCGUCCCCCUCCCUUUCGUUUCCACCACUUCGAACACCACCGAAGAUCACCACCAAGACCAACAUCCAAGACCACCAUGAAGACCACGAACAACACCGACUUUAAUCGAGGUAUAUUUCAAGAACAGGAAUAUGAAUCGAAGAAUCAAGAUGUUGUAUGGGGUUUUUUCAUUUUGAUAUUGUAAUUUUUUUUUUUGAUUUAUAUUGUAUUUUUUUUUAUUAUACCGUUGUAAUUGUUCGAUUAUAUUGAUUUGUAAUGUAAUUUUAUUUUUGAUUAAUGUUGUAAUUAAUCGAUUAUAAUGAUUGAAAUAGUUUGAUUUAUAUUUUGAUGUU